CGAAUGGGUCCUGCGCAACGAAAAUCUAUGAACCCCGUCAGGUCCGGGAGGAAGCAGCGGUAAGUAGACACUUUCGUGUGCCGUAGGGGUGCCUGUUCUGAGU
RNAcentral lists this signal recognition particle RNA (103 nucleotides) under [Clostridium] ultunense Esp. RNAcentral's name for it is "SRP_bact". It matches the Rfam family "Bacterial small signal recognition particle RNA". From Rfam's summary of the family: The signal recognition particle (SRP) is a universally conserved ribonucleoprotein involved in the co-translational targeting of proteins to membranes. Archaeal SRP consists of a 7S RNA and homologues of the eukaryotic SRP19 and SRP54 proteins. The record is from RNAcentral. Lineage: Bacteria; Bacillati; Bacillota; Tissierellia; Tissierellales; Tepidimicrobiaceae.